GAUCAAAUACUGGGGCAGUUCAUUUCCUCCCUAGUCCCUAGUGUACCAACAAAGUCGAGUAGUUUCCACCGCAGUGUUGUUUAUUCUCCGGCGACGCACAGUCGGGUCUCCGGUCUUCUUCACCCUUAAUGUACGGAAGAGAUUUCAUACAUUCAUUCAUCAAACGUGAACCCUAACCCUAAUUGGCUGCUUCGAACUAUGGAAUUGGAGGUACAUAAUCACAGUGCUGCUGCUGAAAAAAAGCUGAACCUCAUCCUAUUCAAGGUUUAUACCUUCAAAUUGAAGUUUCUCUAAUCACAAAUUGAUAAUAACAUGAUUUAUGUGUAUUCUUGAAUAUACUAUAAACCCUCAUGGUUCGGCCCUUCCUCAAAUCCCGCGCAUACCAGGAUCUUUAGUGCACCAAACUGCUUUUUUUUUUUUUUUUUAAUUUGUAUACAUGUUGAAUCUUUCUUGUGAUUUUUUAUUUUAUUUUAAAAUUAUGAUUGAGAAAUCCCUAGUGAGUUAGUUGUCCCAAUCUCAUUUGGCCCUUAAAGUUUGAAACUUGUGGGAGUUUAGGUCAGCUCCUUCAUUCUGCUCUCACUUAAAUGAUAGGCUUCAUGUCAGAGUCAAAGUUCGAACGUGUGCCUAAUCCACACAUACCACUCUCCGUUCUCAUUCUUUUUAUUGUUAUCAUCCCCCAUGGGAUAAGAUUUUACAUUGGGUUCUAGUUUCACUUGGAUUGUAGCUCCAGUUUGAACAAGUUUUAUGAUAAAGGAUGAUUUGCUUAGAAAUGAUAAAAACAAGGUGGUUCAAAAAUUGUUUCUAACUUUUAUUAGACUGAAUAAGUAUCAUUUUCAUAAUGCAACAACAUAUCCAGUGUACAAAGUGGGGUCUGGGGAGGGUAAAGUGUACACAGUCCAUGAUGAAGUAUAGAGGUUGUUUGCGAUAGACUUCUGGCUCAGGACCCAAAAAAAAAAUAAGUAUCAUUUUCAUGAAUAUUGUAAUUCACAUGUGUAUAAUUUUGAGGAGAUAAUUCACAGUUGUUGGAUUUGUCUUGUUAUUUUGUGAGCAUCAUUGCGAAAGUUCUGGAAUAGGAUAAAACCCUUCCCACAGAGAUGAUUUUAGAAGCUUGUUUUACUAGUAUUAGAAUCUAAUUGCAUUCUCAAAUAGUGUUAGAUUUUUAUUAAAGUAAAAUCUUUUGUAGCUAAUUAAUGUUUACCGAAGAAAAUUGUAAUGCAGAUAUCACUAACAGUAAUAUAGAAAUAUGAAAUAUAGUAUCUACUAUCUAAAGAAAAUUGCUGUUUGGUAGUUUAUGAUUUUAUCCCCUCUCUAUAGCUGCCUAGUGUUUCUUGAGUUUGAAUGGUUAGGAUGACAAGUAGCAAGUGGUAUGACCAUUCCGUCUAUAGAAAUUUGUGAAUGAAAUAAGUCAACAAAGAAAACAAAGUAUUCAAGCGAAACACACUAUUAGCCCUAAUACGUUGGGGUCCAAUAGUCCAUGAUCUUACAUUACCCUGUAGAAAAAAAAAGUUGGAGUGCAUGAUUAGUUAGCUCAAGCCAUUUAGCUUGGGAGCAGAUGUUAAUCACCAUUGUUCUGAAGCCUUCUUCUAAAAUGAAAGAUAGCUGAAUACCUCAGAACGUAACAUUCACAAUCAUCUCUUGGUUUGUGAUUACAAUUUUUUUCUUGUUGAAGUAAGAAAGUUUGUAUAAUAGGCACCGAGGAGAUGCAAUACGUACAAAAGAGGGAAGGAGGGGUCAGCUUGGUAAAAAAGUGGGAAGCUAGAGCAAAAUAGUUGACAAAAUCCAGAAAGCUAGUAUGGCAUUCUACAACAACAACAACAAACCCAGUAUAUUCCCACAUAGUGGGGUCUGGGGAGGGUAGAGUGUACGCAGUCCAUAUCACUACCUCUAAUGAGGUAGAGAGGCUGUUUCCAAUAGACCCCCGACUCAAGAUAAAAGGCAGUAUAAAAGGCAAUAUACAAAAAUAUCAAAAGCAUAGAACAUGAUAAAAUAACAUAGAUACGACAUCCACAAAAAAGUACAUUGCCAAACAAAGGACACCAUAAUUCCCCUACCUACUGACUACAACUCAACCACACCCUUAGCCCUCUAUCCUAAUGUUUUUCCUCCAUAUCUUCCUAUCCAGGGUCAUGUCCUCAGUCAGGGUCAUAUCCUCAGUCAGCUGUAACUGAUCCAUGUCACGCCUAAUCACUUCUCUCCAGCAUUUCUUCGGUCUACCCCUACCCCGCUUGAAACCUACCAAGGCCACCCCCCACACCUACGAACUGGGGCAUCCGUGCCCCUCCUAAUCACAUGACCAAACCAUCUCAACCUCAUUUCCCGCAUUUUAUCCUCCACUGAAACCACUCCCACCUUCUCCCGAAUAAUUUCAUUCCUAACCUUGUCUGGCCUUGUGAAUCCAAACAUCCAACACAACAUUCUCAUUUCCGCCACCUUCAACUUUUGGAUAUGAGAAUUCUUAACCGGCCAACACUCCGCUCCAUACAACAUAGCAGGCCGGACUGCUACUCUAUAGAAUUUGCCUUUAAGCUUGGAGGCACCUUUUUAUCGCAUAAAAUUCGCGAAGCGAGCCUUCAUUUCAUCCAACCUGCCCCAAUACGGUGAGAGACAUCCUCAUCUAUCUCUUCAUUCCCCAGAAUCAUAGACCCGAGAUACUUAAAACUAUCCCUCUGUCAAAGACAUGUAGCUUUAAGAGAGUGGUGAGGAGUUGAUAACCCAUCAAAACAUCUGCGAUUUCUCUUUGCCCAGACACACCAAAAUUUACAGGCAACUGGCAAGGAUCAUCUGCCAGACUUAUGAAUUUGUCAACUUUUAUUCCAGACCAGCAUCUAUAGGCUUCUCUGAUACUGUGUGGAAAUGAAUUUGUGCCAAAUGUCUUCAGCAAGUGGACAAUGUAGAAAAAGAUGCCUAUUGGAGUCUAGUUGUUGGUGACACAUGUAACAUCUUUUGACCAACUGUAUCCUUCUUCAAUUCUUCUAUUGAGGUUGUCUAGUGUCAAACAUGAUUCAUGUAGGGGUAUCCUGAUGAAGCAGAUUAUCUUCGAAGGGAGCUUUGUUUUUCAGAUGUAUUUCCAGGGCCAUUUGUGAUUUUCAUUAGUGGAGCAAAAAUGGGCGUAACCUGCCUUCUCAGAGUAGGGACCAUUCAUCUACUUAAUGCUAUUAACAAUACUUCUCUAGUGUGCUUUGUGGACAAUUACAAUGAAGUGGGGUUUACACUGUGCGCACCCGAAGGGUAGCUGCUGUGGGUUCCCUUGUCAACCAAAAAAAAAAAAAAGCAACCCAAUCUAAAAAUGAAGAUGGAUUAUGAUCCCAGGUUGUAUUUGAUGGACUAUCUGGAGGGAAUGGAGUCUAAGAUGCUUUGAAGAAAAGAGCAACCCAAUCCAGAAGACAAAGCUUAAUUGUAUUUUGCUUUUUCACUUUUGGUGUAAACAAGAGUACAUAGAGAAUGUUGAGACUCUAAUGCAGUUGUUAGAGUCUCUAUAGAUCUUCUUGAUUAGAUUAGCUUGCUCUCAUUCCUUGUAAUUUUGGCUUAUCAGUCCUUUUUGAUUAAUACAAUAUGUUACCUAUCAAAAAAAAAUGUCUUGACUAACUGACUAAUUACACCCUGGGUGUAUAUGACUAUAUCUAUUUUACAGAAACAUGAGAACACAGCUGCUGAGUAUGUGACACAAAAAAUUAAAAUAAACCUAGUAUUACCUCACAUUGCAAUAGCAGAUGGGUGAUGCUUUCUUUUUGUUUCUUCACAUAAUGGAUACUAGCACUUGAUGAUCAUCUUCCUUGUUCAAUUCCUUCAAAUAAUCUCCUAUUUCUCUCACUCCAAAUAACCCACAACAGUGCUACUGGUGCAACCUUCCAAGACCUGGGACUACUCCCCCCCCUCCCCCCUCUUGUAACCCCAGAUAUGCAAUGCCUCCUUCACUGUUUAUGCUUUCUUUUUGUUUCUUCACAUAAUGGAUACUAGCUCUUGAUGGUCAUCCUCCUUGUUCAAUCCCUUCAAAUGCUCUCGUAUUUCUUUGACUCCAAAUAACCCACAACAGUGCUAGUGGUGCAACCUUCCAAGACCUAGGACUCCUUUUCCCCCUCUUUUUUUUUCUUGGAAAUUGGUAACUGUUUCUAUUUCUAAAAAUCAGUACUUAGGUUGUACUGAAAACCAUAUUUACAUAAGGAACUCUAAAGAUGCUGUCCCAUCCCUAUAAUGUGUCUUAAGACAUCAAUGAUAGAGACAGUAUCGUUGGAGUAUGCCUGAUUACACCAAAAAUUCAAAGUCAAGAUAUAAUUUAGUUUGAUUGCUGCAUAUUACUCUCCCCAGUCUCAAAAACUUUGAGAUUCCACUCUUUCACUAUAGUCCACCAAAUAGCAGGAACGAUUCUCCAGUUGCUUCUAUUCUUCGCUUGUAAUCCUGCCUCAUCCCAACUGUAUAGAGCCUCUGAAAUUCUACCAGGCAUGGACCAGGAGAUGCUUUUAAGCCUUAGGAAUAAACUCCACAGUUGGCCGGUGACCUUGCAUUGGAUGAACAAGGGAUUGACUGUUUCUGCAGUUUCCCCACAUAAAAACAUCUAGGGCAUAGUGGGAUCCCCCUCUUCAUCAAAUUCUCCUGUGUCGACACACCUUUUUUAGCCAGUAACCAUACAAAAUAUGCCACUUUGUGUGGGAUCUUCGCUUUCCAUAUGUGUUUCCAAGGCCAAUUGGGUGCCUGCAGAUUUGAGUGAUUCAGCUUCUGUAUGCUCCACUUACUUUAAAUAUCCCUUUACUAUUCCCCAACCAUUGCAAUCUGUCCUGACCUAUCCCUAAACCACUAAAAUGUUCUGUGAUGCUGAAAAAUUCUGUUACUCUUGGAAUUUCCCAGUCGUUUAAGUGCCUCCUGAAUACAAAAUUCCACCCUUGAGGAGUCCAUAGUUCAGCUAUAGCACUUUGCUGUCGAAGUACCAAACUGUGAAUAUCAGGGAAGAGUGUCCAGAUUUCCUGCUUCAUGCCAAUCAUCCUUCUAAAAUCUAGUUUUAGUACCAUCUACCACUUCAAUCUUGAUGUUAGAUUUGAAUUCAUUCCAUAAAAUCUAAUGGACUUCCAUAAGCUAACACCAUAAGGAGUGGUAACUUCCUUUGUCAUCCAACUAUCAGCCUCUUCGUAUUUUGCUUUAAUGACUGUGCCCCAUAAAUUCUGAUUAUCAUUUGAGUACUUCCAAAGCCACUUCAUCCUCAAAGCCUGCUUUGAUUCUUCAGAUUCUUGAUCCCCAAACCCCUAACUCUCUUUUCAUUAGUCACUGUUUUCCAUUUGACUAAGUGGUACCCCCUCUUUUCUUUGUUCCCUUGCCAUAUAAAUUUUUUCCUGAUGCUAUCCAACCUAUUGAUGAUUCCUGUUGGGAUGAGAAAUAAAGACAUUAUGUAUUUUGGAAGUGCAUCAAGAACAGAGUUAAUUAGAGUCAAUCUUCCACCCAACGAGAGAUAUUGAGACUUCCACCUUGCUAGCUUCUUCUCACACUUCUCAAUCACCCCAUUCCAGAUUUCCGCAUUUUUGCAGUCUUGGAUUUGGCCCCCAAAGGCAUACCCAAGUAAGUAGCUGGGAAAGUACCCACUUCACCCCAAGAAUUAACUUCAAAGUUUCCAUGGUUGGCACUUUAUUGACUGGAUAUAGGAAGCUUUUCUUCCAGUUGACAUGUAGCCAAGACAUUCCUCCAAAAAAUAACCAGAAUUAUUCUUAGGAUCUUGAGUUGGUCCUCUUCAGCAUCACAGAAGAUCAAGGUAUCAUCUGCAUAUUGGAGAUGGGUUAUCUCUAGACUUGCCCUUCUAGCUCUAGCAACCUGAAAACUUCUUAACCACCCUUUUCUGCUUGUAUUCUUGAUCAAAUUGUUGAGUCCCUCCAUAACUAAUAUAGAAAGGAAAGGUGAUAGAGGAUCCUUGCCUUGGGCCCCUUUGUGCACUAAAGAAACCUGCUGGAGAUCCAUUUAUCAACACUAAGAAACUCACCGAAGAAAUGCAGAAUUUAAUCCACUGUCUCCAUUUGAGGCCACUGUCUCCUCUUGUAACCCCAAAUAUGCAAUGCCUCCUUCACUGUUCUUGGCGUCAUCUAUCGCACCCCAAACCGAUUAAGAACCACUCUCCAAAGGCGGUUAGCCACAUGACAAUGCAAUAAAAGAUGAUCCACACCAUCACUCAACCUCUUGCACAUAAAAAACCAUUUAACACUUACUUUGCUCAUUGCUCAAUGUAUGAUAUGACUAAGCGGGAACCUGAACCUCCACUCUCAGACAUUUUCAUGCCUAGAUUCUCU
RNAcentral lists this long non-coding RNA (6263 nucleotides) under Capsicum annuum. RNAcentral describes it as "long non-coding RNA (CANN_LNC003337)". The record is from RNAcentral. Lineage: Eukaryota; Viridiplantae; Streptophyta; Magnoliopsida; Solanales; Solanaceae.